UCGAAGAUUCAUUCUCAUCUCCUUGGCGAUGUCGUCUGUGUUCCUUCGCAUGUGUAGCUGCUCAAGUGGGUCCAGAUUUUUCUCUCCUCUGUUCUUCAUCUUGAUUUACUCCUUGUUUGUGCUGUUGAUAGUCUGAGCCACUGUCUGCUGUGGCUUCUUCAUUACCUACCUCCUGAGUUCCUGUGUGAGUGCUAUAUUUAGAUAUGCCAAGAAGGAGAGGUCGAAGAAGAAUACAAGGGGGUAGGGGGAGUGGCAUUAGUGAUGGAGUUGAAACAAAUUCCACCACAUCACAAAGUGAAGUUCCUAUAAAAGUUGUCAACUCAAACACUAGAUGUGUUCAACCACACCUACACAUAUCUGGAAAUGGGGAUUCAUAUGUUGAUAUUGAUUUAAAAGUUUUGUUGUGAUUUUUUUCUUUUAAUUUAAAUACAUUUGUCUUUACAUGAAGGUUUACCUCAUAUUGUGCAAUUCGUGAUAUCACUAAAAUAAUCAAAAAGUCAUUUACUGGCUUAUGACCUACUUGGACUUCAAUCCCGUCUCACAUUAGAGACAAAUAGUUUGAACAACUAAAUGUAUGUUAUGAUUUUUUAUUUUUUUGUUCUUAAAUUUGUAGAUUCAAUUAUUAGAAAAUUUUAGAAAGCUUUGGUUUUGUUAAUUUGAUUGUUAUUGUAGAGAUUAUAUCAUUGGGAAGAGAAUGAUGAAGAUAUAAUUAGAGGCAUUUUUGAAGUUGUGGGCUUUAGAAGACUCUGUGACACAUUCUGUAAAUUGAAAGAAAAGCUAAAAGAUAAAGAAGAUUAUAUUCCCAAUUGGAUUAGUGCAGACCAUUGGAAUGAACUUAAACAACACUGGAAUACUAUAAAGUUCAAGCAAAUUGCAACCACUAAUUCAAGGAAUAGAUUGGUGAAUCCUUCUUUGCAUACAAGAGGAUCAAGUCCUGCCCAUGAACAUGCUUAUAAAUUGGUAAGGUUUGAGUCAUUAAGUUGUAAAAAUCUCAUAUUGUACCAUUAAUGUUUUGAUUUUAAAUUUAUAUUAAUGAUUAUUAUUUUUGUAGGAAAAAGAUAAAGGAAGGAGACUUAUGUUAUCUGAAGUG
Long non-coding RNA from Prosopis cineraria, 1090 nucleotides. RefSeq lists it as uncharacterized. The record is from RefSeq and is a predicted model, not a curated record. Lineage: Eukaryota; Viridiplantae; Streptophyta; Magnoliopsida; Fabales; Fabaceae. The transcript is spliced from 3 exons.